CCUACGGGUGGCAGCAGUGAGGAAUAUUGGUCAAUGGACGAGAGUCUGAACCAGCCAAGUAGCGUGAAGGAUGACUGCCCUAUGGGUUGUAAACUUCUUUUAUAUGGGAAUAAAAUGUUCCACGUGUGGGAUUUUGUAUGUACCAUAUGAAUAAGGAUCGGCUAACUCCGUGCCAGCAGCCGCGGUAAUACGGAGGAUCCGAGCGUUAUCCGGCUUUAUUGGGUUUAAAGGGAGCGUAGGUGGAUUGUUAAGUCAGUUGUGAAAGUUUGCGGCUCAACCGUAAAAUUGCAGUUGAAACUGGCAGUCUUGAGUACAGUAGAGGUGGGCGGAAUGCGUGGUGUAGCGGUGAAAUGCUUAGAUAUCACGAAGAACUCCGAUUGCGAAGGCAGUUCACUGGACUGCAACUGACACUGAGGCUCGAAAGUGUGGGUAUCAAACAGGAUUAGAUACCCUUGUAGUC
RNAcentral lists this ribosomal RNA (460 nucleotides) under uncultured bacterium. Its description in RNAcentral is "partial 16S ribosomal RNA". It matches the Rfam family "Bacterial small subunit ribosomal RNA", at positions 338 to 795 of the family's 1533-position model. The record is from RNAcentral.